CAUGCAUGUGGUUCGACAUCCAGUGCCACCACCGCCAUAAAUAUCCUCACAUGCCAUGCCACCAUCGAGAUGGCCGUCAGCCCCACUGCUCGGACAGACACCACAUGCAUGCAGUUUGACAUCCGAAGGUGCCGCAGCUACCAUGUCACGACUUCUUAGAUUUGAAAUGCAUCCAAUGACUCGCGCCACUUCAGGAUCAUCAAAUUUUCUAUCACGG
This 217-nucleotide long non-coding RNA is filed under the name Elaeis guineensis (African oil palm). RNAcentral's name for it is "long non-coding RNA (EGUI_LNC032123)". Lineage: Eukaryota; Viridiplantae; Streptophyta; Magnoliopsida; Arecales; Arecaceae. The record is from RNAcentral.